UGUCUUUAUGGCAAAUGUGAGAUGCAGUGUAUGGAAUGUCAAAUUUCUAGUAUGAGAAAUUAACGAUUUAAGUCCUUCUUAAAUGAGGCCAUUUACCCAAAGAGGGUGCCAGGCCCGUAUAACGUUAAUGAUUACUAGAUGACAUUUCCAAAGAGUCGUGUUGCUUGAUAGUGCAGCACUAAGUGGGUGGUAAACUCCAUCUAAAACUAAAUAUAACCAUGAGACCGAUAGUAAACAAGUACCGUGAGGGAAAGUUGAAAAGAACUCUGAAUAGAGAGUUAAAUAGUACGUGAAACUGCUUAGAGGUUAAGCCCGAUGAACCUGAAUAUCCAUUAUGGAAAAUUCAUCAUUAUGAUUUUAAUAUUUAUAAUAUUAUAAUAAUGGUGUGCAUUUUUUCCAUAUAAGGACAUUGUAAUCUAUUAACAAACAGAUUUAUUAUAAGAUCAUUGCUUUAGUUUAUUCAAAUUAUUUUGCUUGCGAUUUAACAUAGAAUAAAUGCUUUUGAUUUGAUAAAGUGUUGAUAGAUUCAUUAUAUAUAGUGCUUGAAUAUAUUUAUAUAUUCUAUAAUAGCGUAUUGAUCAAUGAUUUUUAUGUUCAUUAUAUGCACUUAUAUGAUUAACAAUGCGAAAGAUUCAGGAUACCUUCGGGACCCGUCUUGAAACACGGACCAAGGAGUCUAACAUAUUUGCAAGUUAUUGGGAAUUAAAAACCUAAUAGCGAAAUUAACAUAACUUAUAUAAUGGGAUUAGUUUUUAGGUCUAUUUAUAGUCUAUUAAUUCAAUCCCGGGGCGUUCUAUACAGUUAUGUAUAAUAGUAUUUAUAUUAUUUAUACCUCUAACUAGAGCGUACCUUGAGCAUAUAUGCUGUGACCCGAAAGAUGGUGAACUAUACUUGAUCAGGUUGAAGUCAGGGGAAACCCUGAUGGAAGACCGAAACAGUUCUGACGUGCAAAUCGAUUGUCAGAAUUGAGU
Molecule: ribosomal RNA, 971 nt
Filed under: Scathophaga inquinata
Lineage: Eukaryota; Metazoa; Arthropoda; Insecta; Diptera; Scathophagidae
Also listed under: 1 other name
Description: eukaryotic LSU rRNA
Rfam family: Eukaryotic large subunit ribosomal RNA
Source: RNAcentral